UCCUCAAAUACCUGAAUAGCCUACCUCUGAGAGAGGGAUAACGCAUGGAAACGUGCACUAAUACCUCAUAAGACCACGGAUUUGCGGAUUUGUGGUUAAAAAUUGCCUCUGAUUUAAGCAUUUGCUCGGAGAGGGGUUCAGGUCCAAUUAGCUUGUUGGUAGGGUAAUGGCCUACCAAGGCGACGAUUGGUAGCCGGGCUGAGAGGUUGUUCGGCCACACUGGGACUGAGACACUGCCCAGACUCCUUCGGGAGGCUGCAGUCGAGAAUCUUCCGCAAUGCGCGCAAGCGUGACGGAGCGACGCCGCGUGGAUGAUUGAAGGCCCUUGGGUUGUAAAAUCCACUCGCGUAGGAAGAAACGAUAGAGGUUAAUAGCCUACUAUCGAGACGUUACUACGGUCGAAGCGCCGGCUAAACACGUGCCAGCAGCCGCGGUAAUACGUGUGGCGCAAGCGUUGUUCGGAAUCAUUGGGCAUAAAGAGCACGUAGGCGGCGUUGUGGGUCGGUUGUGAAAGCCCUCGGCUUAACCGAGGAAUUGCGACCGAAACUACAAUGCUUGAGUAUGGAAGGGGAGAGUGGAAUUCCUGGUGGAACGGUGAAAUGUGUAGAUAUCAGGAAGAACACCGGUGGCGAAGGCGACUCUCUGGUCCAUUGCUGACGCUGAGUGUGCGAAAGCUAGGGGAGCAAACAGGAUUAGAUACCCUGGUAGUCCUAGCUGUAAACGAUGGGCACUAGGUAGUGGGAGUUAUGACGCUCUCGCUGCUGCAGCAAAUGUAUUAAGUGCCCCGCCUGGGGAGUAUGCUCGCAAGGGUGAAACUCAAAGGAAUUGACGGGGGCUCACACAAGCGGUGGAGCAUGUUGUUUAAUUCGAGUAUACGCGAAGAACCUUACCUGGGUUAGAAAUGUAGGGAUUAACCCUGUGAAAGCAGGGGGAUUACUCUUCGGAGUGUAACCUAAUUCAGGUGCUGCAUGGCUGUCGUCAGCUCGUGUCGUGAGAUGUCGGGUUAAGUCCCAUAACGAGCGAAACCCCUGUCCUUAGUUGCCAGCGAGUAAUGUCUGGGACUCUAGGGAGACUGCCGGUGUUAAACCGUGAGGAAGGUGGGGACGACGUCAAGUCGUCAUGGCCUUUAUAUCCAGGGCUACAAACGUGCUACAAUGGCCGGUACAAAGGGGCGCGAAACCGCGAGGUGAAGCAAAUCUCAAAAAAACCGGCCCCAGUUCAGAUUAGAGGCUGCAAUUCGCCUCUAUGAAGUUGGAAUCGCUAGUAACCGCGUAUCAGCUAUGACGCGGUGAAUAUGUUCCUGAGCCUUGUACACACCGCCCGUCAAGCCAUCUAAGCAGGGCGCACUCGAAAUCACUGACCAAACCCGCAAGGGGUGGAGGUGCUGAAGGUGAGCCUUGUGAGGAGGACUAAGUCGUAACAAGGUA
RNAcentral lists this ribosomal RNA (1427 nucleotides) under metagenome. RNAcentral describes it as "bacterial SSU rRNA". It matches the Rfam family "Bacterial small subunit ribosomal RNA". The record is from RNAcentral.